Long non-coding RNA from Brassica oleracea var. oleracea, 1610 nucleotides. RefSeq lists it as uncharacterized. The transcript has 4 exons. Lineage: Eukaryota; Viridiplantae; Streptophyta; Magnoliopsida; Brassicales; Brassicaceae. The record is from RefSeq and is a predicted model, not a curated record.
UAAACCCAGCCCUAAUUAUCUUCUAACAUGUCCAAUGGAAAACUAGGGUUCAUCUCCGCCAUUGGAGAGAUCAAGUUGCUGAGUUCGAGUUGAUGAAUCUGUUCGUAGGUUUCGAUCACGUCGUCUGAUCUUAUUUCUCAUCAACCGAAACGCUCUCAGUUACAGAUUUGUGAAUUUCCCUUCUGUAAGGCGGUGUCACUGAGCGUAUAAAAAGUUGCUGCGGUUAUGGGAGGCGAGAGACGUCAGGCGCAGUGGGGAUUUCUUCUCGCUGACAAAGGGAAACCGGAACUGUUACGGGCUACCUUCAACCGAUUCUUCUGGAUUUCUUCUUAGAUCGAGUUAUGGGCGUCGAUAUGCUUCUCCUUGAUGCCAAGGAUAUUACUGAAGAAAACAAAUCUUAUCCAUGCCCAACGGAGUGGUUAUUCGGUGUUGAUAUUGUAAAGAAAUAGGAAGAGUCUUCACGGUUUCACAGCAAGCCCAAAUAUACUUUGUUUUUGGAUCAUCUGGAGAUUCCUUUGAGAAGAAAAGGAAUAGAGUUCUUUUGGUUCGAUGGGAAAUUGGGUCAGAAGUCCGAAGAGAAGGUGCUGAAGGAUUCAAUGGAACCAUCACAAAACAGUUCUGCUUCUGUCUCUGAAACCUGGAGUCGAACUAAAUCUAACCGCAUCUUCACACGUCUUCUUAACGUUACCAUUUCUCUUCAACCUUACGUUAAAAUUAUGGAGAGAUGAUGGCUGCUCUGUUUUUUGAAAUGCUUAUGAUCCAUCAGCGGAAGAGCAAUCGAUCAUAUGAGAAUUAAUCCCGUAGACAUAGCAGCAACACUGUUUAGAGUUCCGUGAGUGAGAACAAGAUCAUAAUAGGCGGUACAAUGCCUGCUUAUUGAAUCUUCUCUUGAACGGGACCCGAGAGCAGCUGUGGCAGCAUUGUUCAAUCUCUGCAUUGAUCAGGGAAACAAAGGCAUAGAGAUGAUAGCCGGCAUAUUAGCUACAUUGGUUGAGAUGCUAAGCUUUGACAAUAAUCUUGGACCCAUGAUAGACUAGCGGUAUAUGUUUGAUUGUAAUGAAAGUUACAUGGCUGUGGUUCCCAUUGCUUGCACAAUCCCAAGAAGAUUGAUAAAUCCCUCCGGCUUAGAAAGAAGGUCAAACCCACUCAAAGUUGUGAGGUUUCAGUUAAAGAAUAAUAAGAUGCCCUUGCCAAAAGUGCCAGUGAGGUUCGAUCUUGAUGAUCAUGAGCACGAACCAAAAGAGAAGUCUCUGGAAGAAAGAGAGGGUUUGAAAACUGUUGAAGGGGAGGUGGAAGUUAUGAGGUUCAAAUCAAGCUGACGAAGCAAAAAGCUCUAACUAAGGCUAUUAGCUAACUGGGAAACGAGAGCGUUUGAAUUUCAAGCAUGUGGUGGACCAGAUCGCAAGUGUUUCAGUUCAUCAGCCUCAAGUCGAUGUGGUGGUUGCUUACAGUGCUUUCACCUCUGUAUGUUACAUUUCAAGAUUUUGUGGUUAUGCUUAGAUGCUGGUGAAAAACAUUACUAUAAAUGUACACGUUUUAGAGAUUGUAGUUAAAUAGGAUAUAUUGAAGGAUUGUGGAAGUCGAGAUAAGAAAAAAAAUUAUAUUUAGGA